CCUAAGAAACCCCAGUCGCUCUCUCCCUUUGUGAGUCCUAAAGGAAAACUCCAUAUGGGGGGAGGAGGGAGAAGCGACAAUGCUUCUCCUCCCCCUCCUCUCUUCUCGUCUUUUUCUUUUAUGUUAGUGAAUAAGUCCACUGGGGCGUUUUGAAAAAAAGUCCCUUAUGGUGGUUUCUUUUGAGCACUGGUUAGAUUAAAGUUCUCCAUCACUCAUUUUAGUCUAUGUUCUCAAUCAAAUCAUACCAAAAUCCGCUCCCUGACGUCGCUCAUGUUCAUUAAAUUUGAUUCUACAUCGUCAUUGACAGAGGUAGAUCGUUGGAAAUCAUAUUUUCCCUAGAUCUGUUACGGAUGCGGUAGUGGGUGAGGCCGCGACGGUGCUUCAUCAGGUGGUGGUGACAUUCGGCUUCAAUGGGAGGGAUUCGAAACCCGUUGGAUGUACUUUCUGGCUGGAGGCAAGUCAAACUCCUAGCAGAGAUUAAGCUCACCUUUCGAGUAUUGGGACACCUCGUAAUAUUUACCAAAAAAUUAGACAUGUAUGGGACGUCGACCAAACUUGUCCCUAUCAUAAGUGGCACAAAACAUUUGGCUCAAGUACCUUAAAUUGACAUUUUUGUAUGUUUGUG
Long non-coding RNA from Prunus dulcis (almond), 625 nucleotides. RefSeq lists it as uncharacterized. The transcript is spliced from 3 exons. The record is from RefSeq and is a predicted model, not a curated record. NCBI's taxonomy places the organism in Eukaryota, Viridiplantae, Streptophyta, Magnoliopsida, Rosales, Rosaceae.